Molecule: ribosomal RNA, 1371 nt
Filed under: uncultured bacterium
Lineage: Bacteria
Description: bacterial SSU rRNA
Rfam family: Bacterial small subunit ribosomal RNA
Source: RNAcentral
GAUGAACGCUGGCGGCGUGCCUAAUACAUGCAAGUCGAGCGAACGGACGAGAAGCUUGCUUCUCUGAUGUUAGCGGCGGACGGGUGAGUAACACGUGGAUAACCUACCUAUAAGACUGGGAUAACUUCGGGAAACCGGAGCUAAUACCGGAUAAUAUUUUGAACCGCAUGGUUCAAAAGUGAAAGACGGUCUUGCUGUCACUUAUAGAUGGAUCCGCGCUGCAUUAGCUAGUUGGUAAGGUAACGGCUUACCAAGGCAACGAUGCAUAGCCGACCUGAGAGGGUGAUCGGCCACACUGGAACUGAGACACGGUCCAGACUCCUACGGGAGGCAGCAGUAGGGAAUCUUCCGCAAUGGGCGAAAGCCUGACGGAGCAACGCCGCGUGAGUGAUGAAGGUCUUCGGAUCGUAAAACUCUGUUAUUAGGGAAGAACAUAUGUGUAAGUAACUGUGCACAUCUUGACGGUACCUAAUCGGAAAGCCACGGCUAACUACGUGCCAGCAGCCGCGGUAAUACGUAGGUGGCAAGCGUUAUCCGGAAUUAUUGGGCGUAAAGCGCGCGUAGGCGGUUUUUUAAGUCUGAUGUGAAAGCCCACGGCUCAACCGUGGAGGGUCAUUGGAAACUGGAAAACUUGAGUGCAGAAGAGGAAAGUGGAAUUCCAUGUGUAGCGGUGAAAUGCGCAGAGAUAUGGAGGAACACCAGUGGCGAAGGCGACUUUCUGGUCUGUAACUGACGCUGAUGUGCGAAAGCGUGGGGAUCAAACAGGAUUAGAUACCCUGGUAGUCCACGCCGUAAACGAUGAGUGCUAAGUGUUAGGGGGUUUCCGCCCCUUAGUGCUGCAGCUAACGCAUUAAGCACUCCGCCUGGGGAGUACGACCGCAAGGUUGAAACUCAAAGGAAUUGACGGGGACCCGCACAAGCGGUGGAGCAUGUGGUUUAAUUCGAAGCAACGCGAAGAACCUUACCAAAUCUUGACAUCCUUUGACAACUCUAGAGACAGAGCUUUCCCCUUCGGGGACAAAGUGACAGGUGGUGCAUGGUUGUCGUCAGCUCGUGUCGUGAGAUGUUGGGUUAAGUCCCGCAACGAGCGCAACCCUUAAGCUUAGUUGCCAUCAUUAAGUUGGGCACUCUAAGUUGACUGCCGGUGACAAACCGGAGGAAGGUGGGGAUGACGUCAAAUCAUCAUGCCCCUUAUGAUUUGGGCUACACACGUGCUACAAUGGACAAUACAAAGGGCAGCGAAACCGCGAGGUCAAGCAAAUCCCAUAAAGUUGUUCUCAGUUCGGAUUGUAGUCUGCAACUCGACUACAUGAGGCUGGAAUCGCUAGUAAUCGUAGAUCAGCAUGCUACGGUGAAUACGUUCCCGGUUCU